This 1800-nucleotide long non-coding RNA is filed under the name Marmota monax (woodchuck). The record is from RNAcentral. Lineage: Eukaryota; Metazoa; Chordata; Mammalia; Rodentia; Sciuridae.
GAGGACCGGGUGGCCUGAGCCCUGGAGAAUAUUUGUCUCCUGAAUAUUUGCCUCCAUGUCUGUGUACUGCCCCAUUCAGACUGGCUGUGGCCCAGAUAAAGGUUUUGUGUUGAAUUUCUCCAGGAGGGACCCCUGAAUUCCCCCACAACUUCAUGCUCCAACUCCCACCUGACACCUGCACUCUGAAGAAGGUAGCUCUAAGGGCUCUCAAGUUAAAAAGGCAGCAGCACUUUCAUUUUUAAAAGUCACUUUGAGCAUCCACUGUGAUGAUUAGCAUUGCCUCAAAGGAACUUUAUUUAGUGUCUGGCUACAGACAUCCUCUAGUUUCUUUUUGGUGUGCUAUUUCUUCCCGUUUUACUUCUGUACCCCUUUUCAUUUCUGUUUGGACUUUUCCUGACACAACAUUUAUCCUUUCAUUGUCCUUUAUUUCAGUCAGAUUUACACUUUUCAAGGACAAGAAUAUUUUAAAGUUAUGGUGAAAACACUUACGUUCUACUAUUUUUUAAAACUGCAAGUCUGCAAUUCAGUAACUAGGAGCAAAAUAUAGUACAACAGACCUCUAGAACUUUUUUAUAUUGUCUAACUGACACUUGGUUCUCCUGGACCAGCAUCUCCCCAUAUCAUCCUCUUCUUAGUCCCUGACAGCCACCAUUCUACUCUGCUAUGAGUUUGACUAGUUUUAAUACUUCAUCUAAGUGGAAUCAUGCUGUAUUUGUCCUUCUAAGACUGGUUUAUUUCAAUUAGCAUGAUGUUCACAAGGUUCAUCUGUAUUGUUACAUAUGGCAAGGUCACCAUAUUUUUAAAGGAUAAUAAUAUUUAAUUUAUGUAUAUGCCACAUUUUUAUCCAUUUAUCUACUGUCUGACAUUAGGUUGUUUCCACAUCUUGAUUGUUGUGAAUAGUACUGCAACACACAAGGGAGUGCAAAUAUCUCAUUGAGAUCCCAAUUUCAAUUAUUUUGGAUAAAUACCUAGAAGUGGGAUUGUUGUAUUAUACAAUAGUUCUAUCUGUAAAUUUUUGAGGAAGGUCCAUACUGCUUACUCUAAUGGAUGCAACAUUUUGCAUUCCCACAACCAUGUUCAAGGGUUCCAAUUUCUCCACUUCCUCACCAAUACUUGACUGUCUUUUAUUUUCAGACAGUAGCCAUCUUCAUAGAUGUGAGGUAAAAUCAAAUCGCAAUAUCUCAUUCCUCUGAUGACUGGUGAGUUGAGCACAAAGGACCUUGAAGAGACCUAAGACCAUUUUGAGAAGUUAGAACAAACCUGAAGGUAUAACACCUCCUGGGUUCUGAAUAUACUACAAAUCUUCAGUAAUUAAAACAGUGUGAUUCUGUCAUUAAGACAUAAAUACAAACUAAUGGAACACAACAGAGAACCCAGAUAUAAGGCCAUGAAUGUACAGUCAACUGAUCUUUGUCAAGGAUACCAAGCUCACACAAUGAGUAAUGAAAUAAAGAUAAAUGUUCAAUUAAAAUAUUUCUACAAAGGAUUAUGUUAAUAACUUAUGGUUAAACAUUUUAGCAACUCAUUACUACCAUGAAAAUCAGUAGGACUGAUUAGAAGGAAACUGUUUUUAAGCCAGAGAAGAUGAAAUGUUACUUAGCACUAAUUCAUAGUUGAGGAAGUGAAAUGUGAUAGUGUUUGAGUGGUGUCGUUCCUUCCCUGGUCACCAUCAGUGGUCCUGUUGCUGAGCUGCCCUCUGUGCAGCUAGGAAGCAGCUGGCUGAAAGCCCCAGGAGAUCCUGUACACUGGGUAUAGAAGAACUUAAUUUUCUAUUAAACUAUAAACAUAUUCACAUCUGAU